This 495-nucleotide ribosomal RNA is filed under the name uncultured bacterium. RNAcentral describes it as "partial 16S ribosomal RNA". It matches the Rfam family "Bacterial small subunit ribosomal RNA", at positions 28 to 507 of the family's 1533-position model. The record is from RNAcentral.
GACGAACGCUGGCGGCGUGCCUAAUACAUGCAAGUAGAACGCUGAAGGAGGAGCUUGCUUCUCUGGAUGAGUUGCGAACGGGUGAGUAACGCGUAGGUAACCUGCCUGGUAGUGGGGGAUAACUAUUGGAAACGAUAGCUAAUACCGAAUAAUAGCAGUUGUUGCAUGAUAACUGUUUGAAAGGUGCAAUUGCACCGCUACCAGAUGGACCUGCGUUGUAUUAGCUAGUUGGUGGGGUAACGGCUCACCAAGGCGACGAUACAUAGCCGACCUGAGAGGGGGAUCGGCCACGCUGGGACGGAGACACGGCCCAGACUCCUACGGGAGGCAGCAGUAGGGAAGCUUCGGCAAUGGACGGAAGUCUGACCGAGCAACGCCGCGUGAGUGAAGAAGGUUGUCGGAUCGUAAAGCUCUGUUGUAAGAGAAGAACGAGUGUGAGAGUGGAAAGUUCACACUGUGACGGUAGCUUACCAGAAAGGGACGGCUAACUACGUG